AGGGCGUGUGGUGGAUGCCUUGACUGAAGAAGGCGAUGAAGGACGCGGCUUAGCUGCGAUACGCUUCGGGGAGCUGCCAAGCAAGCUUUGAUCCGGAGAUUUCCGAAUGGGGAAACCCUGUCGAGUACACCUCGACAACUCUCUAGUUAAACGCCAGAGAGAGCAGACCGUGGGAAGUGAAACAUCUCAGUACCACGAGGAAAAGAGACCAAUAGGUAUUCCCUUAGUAGCGGCGAGCGAAACGGGAAAAGCACAAACUCAGCCACAAUAUCAACGCGCGAUCUUUUUCGCGAUUUGAUAUUGGGGAUGGGGGUUAUAAGGCUACAGCGCUGGCAACAGGUAGAGUCACAAAUUGCUUAGUUAGUGGAACCUUCAGAUCGAUAGUGAACAAGUACCGUGAGGGAAAGGUGAAAAGAACCCCGGUGAGGGGAGUGAAAUAGAACUGAAACCACAUGUCUACAAGGAGUUGGAGAGGUCGUCAUUUAUUUGGCGUUGCCUCGACAGCGUGCCUAUUGAAGAAUGAGCCAACGAGUUGAUGCAUACGGCUUGGCUAAGGCCUUAUCGGCUGGAGCCGUAGCGAAAGCGAGUGUGAAUAGCGCGUUUGUCGUAUGUAUCAGACCCGAAGCCGGGUGAGCUACCCAUGGCCAGGUUGAAGUUCGUAGAAAUACGGAUGGAGGACCGAACCCGUAGAUUGUGCAACAUCUUGGGAUGAGUUGUGGGUUGGAGUGAAAAGCUUACCGAACUCGGUAAUAGCUGGUUUUCUCCGAAAGAGCUUUCGGGCUUGCGUCGUGUGUUUCCUCUGGGGGUAGAGCACUGGAAGAAGCGGACAGAUCGAAAGAUCGCUGCCUCUAUCAAACUCCGAAUACCAGAGUAAAGAGCACGGCAGUUAGGCGAUGGGGGCGAAGCUCCAUGCGCCAAAAGGGAAACAGCCCAGACCGCCGUCUAAGGUCCCUAAAUCUACGCUAAGUGCAACUAAGGAGGUGAAAUUUCAUAGACAGUCAGGAUGUUGGCUUAGAAGCAGCCACCAUUCAAAGAAAGCGUAACAGCUCACUGACUUAGAGAUUUUGCGCCACAAAUGAUCGGGGCUAAGCGUAGUACCGAAGAUGCGGAUGCUUCGUCAGAGACUUUGCAGGACAAGCUGUCCCACGCCGCUCGCAUUCGCGAGCUCCGCGGGACACACUUCGCCAAUUGUGCGGAGUGGCUUGCCACGCAAAGCCUCUGGCGAAGUGUGGUAGGAGAACGUUCCGCUCUGCGAUGAAGGCAAAGGGGUGACCCAUGCUGGAGCGUGCGGAAGUGAAAAUGUUGGCACGAGUAACCGCAAUGCAAGUGAGAUUCUUGCACGUCGAAAGAUCAAGGUUUCCUUCGCAAUGGAGAUCAACGAAGGGUUAGUCGGUCCUAAGCCGAUGGCAAACGCCGCAGGCGAUGGACACAGGGUUAAUAUUCCCUGACUUCUGUAUUGAGUGAUGGAGAGACGGAGAGCUGUAAUGCAGGCCCCUUAUUGGAUUGGGGUCCGUGCCGUGAUUGUGCGCUGUAGGUAAAUCCGCGGCGUAAGUGAGAGCGGAGCGGAGAAUUGGAGAUUCGUCAAAGAAAAUCUGCAUGAGCGCGCUUCCAAGAAAAUCUUCUAAACGUAUCAAUAGAGAAACCGUACCGCAAACCGACACAGGUGAUCAGGGCGAGUAGCCUAAGACGAACGAGUGAGAGGUCCCCAAGGAACUCGGCAAAAAAGCGGCCGUACGUUAGCAAUAAGGUCCGCCACUCGCAAGAGUGGCCGCAGUUAAAAUUUCCCAACCGACUGUUUAUCAAAAACACAGCUCCCUGCAAACUCGUAAGAGGAAGUAUAGGGGGUGAUGCCUGACCAAUGCCGGAAGGUCAAGUAUGGAGGGUACAUGCAUGUAUGUAUGUGCUGGACUAUAUAAGCCCCGGUCAAUGUCGGCGAUAACUAUAAUCGUCCUAAGGUACGACACAUUUGUACUAUUAUGUCAAGUGUGCCGUAGGACUAGGACGAUCGUAGAAUCGAAAUAAACAGCGAAAGUAAUACCAAAGCUGCCUCUCUGUGCAGUAAUGCACAAGUGGUCCUAUGAAACAUGGCUAUAUGCUGGAAACUCCUAUGGUACAAUUGCACCAUAGAUGAGCAAUCAGCAGGAAAGGCCAAGAAUUGAAGAUUGGAUCGUCGGCUUUGCCGAUGGCGAAGGAUGCUUCUCUGUAAGCAUUUUCCGCAACAAAACCACAAAGCUCGGUUGGCAAGUUUUUCCAGAGUUUGUCAUAACUCAAGGAAAACGAAGUCUACCAGCCCUCGAAAUCUAUCUGAAUUACUUUGGAUGCGGGAAGAUUUUCGUAAACAAUCGUUACGAUAAUCAUCACGAGCCUCUGUACCGGUAUUGCGUGCGAUCGCUCAAGGAUUUGCGGGAGACAAUAAUCCCGUUUUUCCAAGAGCAUCAACUUCGUACGGCAAAGCAGAAAGAUUUCGAACUAUUCGCGGAAAUCGUCGAAUCAAUGUUUCUCAACAAGCAUCGUUCGAUAACAGGCAUACGUUCAAUUGCUCGAAAGAUCGAGCGAAUGAAUCGCAAAACGCGAUCACAAUUCUUGGAAUCCUCAGAGACUACACGCCGUGCUCCUGCAAUUGCAGGAUGAAGAUAUAGUCCAAUGGCAGAAGGAACCUAGAGCGAAAUUCC
RNAcentral lists this ribosomal RNA (2672 nucleotides) under Candidatus Kaiserbacteria bacterium GW2011_GWA2_52_12. RNAcentral describes it as "bacterial LSU rRNA". The stretch from base 2 to 2067 matches the Rfam family "Bacterial large subunit ribosomal RNA", at positions 15 to 2044 of the family's 2925-position model. Lineage: Bacteria; Candidatus Kaiseribacteriota. The record is from RNAcentral.